This is a small nuclear RNA of Meriones unguiculatus (Mongolian gerbil), 108 nucleotides long. The record is from Ensembl. Lineage: Eukaryota; Metazoa; Chordata; Mammalia; Rodentia; Muridae.
GUGCUCACUUCAGCAAUACAUUGACUAAAUUUAGGACAAUGCAGAGAUUAGCAUGCAUGGUCCCUGAGCAAGGAUGACAUGCAAAUUUAUGAAGUGCUUCAUGUUUUU